AGUGGAAUAGCUUGGUCAAAUGGUGGUUUCAUUCCAGUUUUCCAAAGAAUCGCCAUACUGCUUUCCAUAGUGGUUGUACCAAUUUGCAUUCCCAACAGCAAU
RNAcentral lists this microRNA precursor (102 nucleotides) under Marmota monax (woodchuck). The record is from RNAcentral. Lineage: Eukaryota; Metazoa; Chordata; Mammalia; Rodentia; Sciuridae.